UACGUAGGGGGCAAGCGUUAUCCGGAAUUACUGGGUGUAAAGGGAGCGUAGACGGAAUUGCAAGUCUGAUGUGAAAAUCCGGGGCCCAACCCCGGAAGUGCAUUGGAAACUGUAUUUCUAGAGUGUCGGAGAGGCAAGUGGAAUUCCUAGUGUAGCGGUGGAAUGCGUAGAUAUUAGGAGGAACACCAGUGGCGAAGGCGAUUUGCUGGGCCAUUACUGACGCUCAUGCACGAAAGCGUGGGGAGCAAAUAGG
RNAcentral lists this ribosomal RNA (253 nucleotides) under uncultured Eubacteriales bacterium. Its description in RNAcentral is "uncultured Clostridiales bacterium partial 16S ribosomal RNA". It matches the Rfam family "Bacterial small subunit ribosomal RNA", at positions 524 to 776 of the family's 1533-position model. Lineage: Bacteria; Bacillati; Bacillota; Clostridia; Eubacteriales. The record is from RNAcentral.